GGAUUCCCUUAGUAACUGCGAGUGAACAGGGAUCAGCCCAGCACCGAAGCCUGUGGUUAUUUGACUGCAAGGCAAUGUGGUGUUUAGGUUUGUUCUUGGCAUUACUGCUCUGCCCCAAGUCCAGCAAUGAGUACGGCUUACCGUUCUGGCCCAUAGAGGGUGAAAGGCCCGUGGGGGUAGAGACCAAGCAUGACAGUUUUGUCCAGAGCUUACCUUGGAGUCGGGUUGUUUGAGAAUGCAGCCCAAAGCGGGUGGUAAACUCCAUCCAAGGCUAAAUACUUACACGAGUCCGAUAGUAAACAAGUACCGUGAGGGAAAGUUGAAAAGUACUUUGAAGAGAGAGUAAACAGUGCGUGAAACCGCUCAGAGGUAAACGGGUGGAGUUGAACUGCGAUCCUUGGGAAUUCAGCUGAUGAGCAUGAUUUGUGCUUGAGCAUAUUGGCCGCCUUUCAGUGUCUGUCUAAUAACAGGUACCUGCCUACAGGUGGGUAUGUGUGGUGCGCUUAUCAUGUGCCGCACGCAUUGGAGGGUGUAUGGGUCUGCUUGUCAGUGCACUUUCUCAGGGUGUUCACCACGACCGGCACUGCUGUCUGUCUGCUGUAGUCGAACUGAUCAGGUCUGACUCACGUUGGGCUUGGUUGGGUUGGCAGGUGACUCACUGGUCCAUUCUGUGGGCUAUGAGUGUUACUAGCCGGCUAUGGUGGAUCUGUACGGUGUGUCGGAGACGGCGGAUUGGCGUGCGCGCUCUGUCCUUCAGGCGUGGUUGAGUCUGGUCGACUUGUUGCUAGUUUCGGCUGGUCAGUUGAUGGCUUGAUCAUGUUCAGUUGGCAGCUGUGUGUGUGUCUUAUACCGACAGUCUG
RNAcentral lists this ribosomal RNA (860 nucleotides) under Nasusbilharzia melancorhypha. Its description in RNAcentral is "Schistosomatidae gen. n. sp. n. SB-2020 partial large subunit ribosomal RNA". It matches the Rfam family "Eukaryotic large subunit ribosomal RNA", at positions 72 to 628 of the family's 3401-position model. Lineage: Eukaryota; Metazoa; Platyhelminthes; Trematoda; Strigeidida; Schistosomatidae. The record is from RNAcentral.